GGUUUAGUGGUCAGAACAUUGGUGCGUAAAGCCAAAAGUCCCGGGUUCGAUUCCCGG
Non-coding RNA from Agrilus planipennis (emerald ash borer), 57 nucleotides. NCBI's taxonomy places the organism in Eukaryota, Metazoa, Arthropoda, Insecta, Coleoptera, Buprestidae. The record is from Rfam.